Molecule: ribosomal RNA, 93 nt
Filed under: Staphylococcus aureus
Lineage: Bacteria; Bacillati; Bacillota; Bacilli; Caryophanales; Staphylococcaceae
Description: partial 16S ribosomal RNA
Rfam family: Bacterial small subunit ribosomal RNA
Source: RNAcentral
GCGAGCAGUAGGAGGUGGGACAAAUGAUUGGGGUGAAGUCGUAACAAGGUAGCCGUAUCGGAAGGUGCGGCUGGAUCACCUCCUUUCUAAGGA